Cricetulus griseus (Chinese hamster) is the source of this 71-nucleotide non-coding RNA. Lineage: Eukaryota; Metazoa; Chordata; Mammalia; Rodentia; Cricetidae. The record is from Rfam.
GCCCCGCUAGCUCAGUCAGUAGAGCAUGAGACUCUAUCUCAGGGUCGUGGGUUAGAGCCCCACAUUGGGUG